CUUUGUUUUGUGCUCAAGAAGAGCGAGCAGAAUAGGCUGAAUUAGAGCCAUCUGUUUAUGUAAGCAAGAGGCGUCUGGUGCUCUUUUCCUCUCCCUUCCUCUGAGGCAGAGUCCAGGGCAAAGAGUACCAUCGCAUACGAAAAGUGGUGCUUCCACAAAGAGGCAGUAGUAAGGUGAGAUGAGACCCUUGACUGCACAGAGCGGACAGUCCAGAGAGAUUCACCACAUGUAAGCAGGCAGCCCCCACACACAACGAGCAUAGCCAGGAUGAGAGGAAGACAGAUCUGUGGGAGCACCCAGGCCCGCUCCCUAAUCCAGACUUACAGGACGGAUGCUGCUCUGAGACCAAAGCUUAGCUAAAAUACAGAGUGGAGAGAGAAAAGAGAAGAGAAUAAAUGUUGACAUCAUUGGAAACUGCCUCAGGCUGCAGCUAACAUUCCUGGUCCUUCCAUCAUUUGUUUAACCUGUGGAAGUCGGGUUUCUAUCAUUUGCAAAGGUCCUUUUAAACCCGCAGCCCUCAUCAUCUUACGAUGGAGUUGUCACAGAAAAACCAAACAACACAUGAGGCACAUUAUUGGCUUCCACUUUAAUAUAACAAAACCCAGCAAUAUUUUUUUAACAACAACCAGCAAAAAGACCAUCUAAUGUAUGCUGAGAACUGGAAGAGCAGAAAAAAGACUUUUGCAGGAUGGUUGUCUGAUUCCUUGGGAAAUCUGAAGAGCUUGAAUGGGAAGGCGCACAGACUGAAGACUGUCUCAGGCCAAGCCUCAACAAUAACUCCACCAGGAUUUAGAAAACUGGAUAGAUUCUAGAGAACUCUUUUUGAAAUGCUGAGUAAACCAAAAAUUAACUGCCAGGCUGUUUUCCAAGUUGGUGGCACCAUUCCACGUUCGCACCAGCUGUGUUUGAAGGUCCUCUACCUGCACACCGGCACUCGCCAUGAAAACUUUUCAGUUACUCAACAGAUGUUUAUUGAAAAUCUGUCUGCAAUAACUGCGAAGGGUCUGAAUUCACCGUACUCGCAAACUAACAAGUUUUGUGGAUGCUGGCAGAAGACGAGACUCCUGGGUCAGAGACAAAGACAUUUACUAUUUAUGGCACAGCAGGCAGUGUGGGCAUCACCAUAUUGGCAGCAGCUCCCCUCCUCCCCAAGUGCCAUGGAGGUGACAGGGAUGGGGUCAGACGAAUGCGUUCCCCCACAGUGGGCCGCAUUAUGAGGAGGAGACUCUGAGCUUAGACAUCCUGAGUCUUCUGCAGUGCACAGGAGCCCGCCUGCCCUUUCCUCUGGAGGGAGACUAUCUCUGUUCUUCAAGGCCGUUCACUCUUCAGACAUCCCUGAAAAGACAGUCUAGAAUUUCGUUCCACUAGUGCCUCACUCACAAAAUGUUUAGAAAUGGGACAGACCCGUGGAGAAUUGUCUCCCAGUAUUAUUUGAGCCUACCAUUAUAAGAAUCCUGUUAAGCAUGUAAGAAUAAGCUAAUUUAUCAAAAUGUGCAUUUUCUUAUAUGAUUUUGUGAAACCUGAGAUACACUGAUACAUAACACUAAUUUCAUUACUUCACCAAAGAAUAUCAGAUGUCAGUGCCUUUUUGAUGUCAAUUUUUGAUGGUUGGUUUGUGAGACAGAGAGAGACAAGAGAAAGCAUAUUUCAUUCACUUUGUCAGCUUCAAUUCUGUUCUUCAUCCUAAGCCAUUGCAAACUUCCCCAGAACUUUCCCCUCUUCUCUUACUACUCCAGAGGGAAAAAGAAAGCACUUACUGGGUGUCAACUUCUGUGCUAGGCAUUGUAAUGUGUGCUCUUUCUUCUCUUUUCUUAAUGGUCUAACCACUCUCUCCAGCUCCAAACCCCAUACUCAAGAUAUAAACCUGAGGGUUAUGCAGAAUCUUAGAUUUAGCAAAAACCACAUAUCGUUCCCCAUCCCACAGCACAAAACCUCUGACUCAAGCAGAUUUUUACUGACUAGACACUGGGGAACAAUGAAAGUUUAGCCAAGCAUCAUCUUUCUGGUUUGCAAACAUCCUCACAAAUGAGAUCCAAAACGAAAAGAUGGAAGUAAUUCAUUCUCUCUGUCCUUUAUCUUUAUACUGUGAUGAAUAUAUCAAUGGGAACUCUCGAAAUCCAUCUGUUUUCGUUUUCUUAAGGAACAGAUACAAACAGUUCUUCUAAGUACAGCUUAAAUUUUACAUUAAAAAAAAGGCAGCCUAAUGGAUUGACAAGAACAUGAGCUUUAUGGAUGGGCAGGAUCUAAUUUCCAAACUUCCGCACUCCAUUCCUUUUAGUCUCUUUUCCAAGUCUAGGACAAAACAUAUUUCUCAAUAACUGAAUUUAGAUUAUUCUAACAAUACUGAAAUAAUUAUUUAAAAGGAAGACUCAUUAUCCAAACCUUUUACUUAAUUUUUUUAAUCAAAUUGAUAAGUUCAUUUGUGGUUAUAGCAUUGUUUAAACUUAUCCA
RNAcentral lists this long non-coding RNA (2451 nucleotides) under Equus caballus (horse). Its description in RNAcentral is "lncRNA (ENSECAG00000038955.3)". Lineage: Eukaryota; Metazoa; Chordata; Mammalia; Perissodactyla; Equidae. The record is from RNAcentral.